CAGAGCCUCAAAGAGCACCCAGCAUAACUGUGGGAGAAUAGUAAGCAUUGGACACAAAAUGGUUUAGGCAAAUAAUGAUGAACAAAAAUGGUCAGUCUGUGUUCCUGCUGACCCAGCACAGUGGGGACGCUGUGUAGGACAUGACCUUUGGGGGAAAGGACACAAGAACUCAGCGUGGGGGAUCCAGAAAAGAAGUCGCACGUAUUGAAGCCAGUAACGCCAAGCCAGUGAAUUCUCCUUGACGAGAAAGACCCACUUACUCUGCAGAAGAGAUAUAUGACAGCUGACAAUCCCUGGAGGAGAAUCUUUCUACUAAAUUGGCAUCUAUUCAACGAAGACGAAUCCUGGAAUGGGGAUGGAAAUGAUGGCUCAUGUCUUAGCAAACUACCAAACUGAUCCGAGAGGACAGGGAAGUCAGUGUGGGCGGCUCUAAGGAGCCUCCCUCUCUACAGCUGCGGCUCAGAGGAUUACGGCGCUUCAUCCACAAGGCAACAUUGCACAAGUAGCUUUUGAACAAAAGUCAUGGAUACUAUUAAUGAUAUGUUCCCACACACAUUUAGUGUCGUCUCAAAAUUCACGCUGUCAACUGUCUCUAGGAAUCAUUUCCAUCUGAGAACAGACCACACAAAGACACAGUGAAACUCAGUUUCUGCAGAAUUUGAUUUCAUUUGAGUUACUGGGGAACAAAGCAAUUAGACAAUGAAUAAUAGCUCAAGACAGGCUGAAGCUGAAGAUUUCUGCAAAAGAAUGAAGAGGAAACGUUUUGAUCCUGAGCAGAUGUUCUCCCUAGAUUGCUUCACCUGAGGUUGAUUGACUUUUGGAAACGAGAUUUGUUCCCAGUGCUUUGUGAGUCUCUUGUUGGAAGGACUGUCUUUAAAUUAAAGCAAUUAGAGUUACUUUAUAAGAUUUACCCAAAUAUAAGAGCUGAAGAGAAUAAUUCAAAUUGAUCAGAAGAAAAUACUCAAUUACUGACAAAUGUCAAUUACAUCAAUAGCCUAGGCUGCUCUUGAACUCCUGGGCUCAAACGAUCCUCC
This 1034-nucleotide long non-coding RNA is filed under the name Homo sapiens (human). Its description in RNAcentral is "HSALNT0324225". Lineage: Eukaryota; Metazoa; Chordata; Mammalia; Primates; Hominidae. The record is from RNAcentral.